Molecule: ribosomal RNA, 268 nt
Filed under: uncultured bacterium
Lineage: Bacteria
Description: partial 16S ribosomal RNA
Rfam family: Bacterial small subunit ribosomal RNA
Source: RNAcentral
CCGGACCGGCGCACGGGUGAGUAACACGUAUGCAACCUGGCCGUCACAGGUGGAUAACCGGAAGAAAUUCCGACUAAUACAGCAUAACACUCCUGAGGGACAUCCCUUGGGAGUCAAAGGAGGCAACUCCGGUGACGGAUGGGCAUGCGGCGCAUUAGGUAGUUGGUAGGGUAACGGCCUACCAAGCCGACGAUGCGUAGGGGUUCUGAGAGGAAGGUCCCCCACAUUGGAACUGAGACACGGUCCAAACUCCUACGGGAGGCAGCAG